RNAcentral lists this transfer RNA (73 nucleotides) under Rattus norvegicus (Norway rat). It matches the Rfam family "tRNA". From Rfam's summary of the family: Transfer RNA (tRNA) molecules are approximately 80 nucleotides in length. Their secondary structure includes four short double-helical elements and three loops (D, anti-codon, and T loops). Further hydrogen bonds mediate the characteristic L-shaped molecular structure. tRNAs have two regions of fundamental functional importance: the anti-codon, which is responsible for specific mRNA codon recognition, and the 3' end, to which the tRNAs corresponding amino acid is attached (by aminoacyl-tRNA synthetases). tRNAs cope with the degeneracy of the genetic code in two manners: having more than one tRNA (with a specific anti-codon) for a particular amino acid; and 'wobble' base-pairing, i.e. permitting non-standard base-pairing at the 3rd anti-codon position. Lineage: Eukaryota; Metazoa; Chordata; Mammalia; Rodentia; Muridae. The record is from Rfam by way of RNAcentral.
GGAGAGAUGGCUCAGCAGUUAAGAGCAUUGACUGCCUUUCCAAAGGUUCUGGGUUUGAUUCCCAGCAUCUACA